UAUUUAGCUUUGUGUAGGUAAACUAAGUUCAGGAAAAAACUACCCUAUGACCGUACCAACUCUAACGCAUGAAAAUUAGUUGAAUAAAUGACAGCAAAGGGGGAACUAAUAUUGAAGGAACUCGGCAACUUGACCCCGUAACUUCGGAAUAAGGGGGACUUUAAAGUUAAAAAAGAGGAAGUGGCGACUGUUUAAUAAAACAUAAGAUUUUGCUAAAUUGAAAGAUGACGUAUAAAAUCUGACGCCUGCCCAGUGCUGCAAGACAAACAUUUCAGGUAUUUGCUUGAAAUAUAAGUUCCAGUAAACGGCGGCCGUAACCCUGACGGUCCAAAGGUAGCAAAAUUCCUUGACGGGGUAAAUUCCGUCCCGCACGAAUGGCGUAACGACUGCUUCGCUGUCUCCAGUAUUAUCCUUGUGAAUUUUGAAUUAGUCGUGAAGAUGCGAUCGAUACAGCUAGACGGAAAGACCCCUAUGCACCUUUACUGCGACCUAUUUCU
RNAcentral lists this ribosomal RNA (497 nucleotides) under uncultured bacterium. RNAcentral describes it as "bacterial LSU rRNA". It matches the Rfam family "Bacterial large subunit ribosomal RNA", at positions 1577 to 2118 of the family's 2925-position model. The record is from RNAcentral.